AAUCAACGCUGGCGGCGUGCCUCAGACAUGCAAGUCGAACGUGAAAGUUCCUUCGGGAAUGAGUAAAGUGGCGCACGGGUGAGUAACACGUGGGUAAUUUGCCUUCGGGUGGGGAAUACCAACCGGAAACGGUUGUUAAUACCGCAUGAUGCAGCGGCUCGACAUCGAGACAGUUGUUAAAGCGGGGGAGCGGAGCAAUCCGUCCGUCGCGCCUGAAGAGAAGCCGCGGCGGAUUAGAGUUGUGAGGUAAUGCUCACCAAGCCGCGAUCCGUAACCGACCUGAGAGGGUGGUCGGUCACACUGACACUGACAUACGGGUC
RNAcentral lists this ribosomal RNA (320 nucleotides) under uncultured bacterium. Its description in RNAcentral is "bacterial SSU rRNA". It matches the Rfam family "Bacterial small subunit ribosomal RNA", at positions 32 to 332 of the family's 1533-position model. The record is from RNAcentral.